RNAcentral lists this transfer RNA (64 nucleotides) under Myrsidea sp. ADS-2020. RNAcentral describes it as "tRNA-Gly". The record is from RNAcentral. Lineage: Eukaryota; Metazoa; Arthropoda; Insecta; Psocodea; Menoponidae.
ACUUGUUUAGUAUAAUAAAAUGUACACCUAAUUUCCACUUAGGAAGUUCUUUUAGAAGCAAGGA